UUUUCGGCAUCUUCUUCUUCUUCAUCUCUAUCGUCGGUUUUAUCUUCAUAUGCACCGAUGCCUUUGCCAAUGUUAGGUGGCUCUAUUCUAUCUUUGCCACUGUUGGGCUCUUCUUCCACUGUGUCCAUUGUUGAUGCUAUUACAUUGAGUUAAAUCGCCAGAUCAAAACCCUUGUUGUAGCCGUAGGAAUUGUUUUCUCUCUUGAGCUACACCUCUGGUGCCAUUUUGCUACUGAUCCUAUCCGGCUCACACCAUAUGAGAAAGCUACAUUCUCAUUGCCACCAAACUUGAAUGCAGGUACACAAUAUAAGCUCUUUGGUAAUUAUGUGUUGAAUCUGCUACUUGAAUAAGUUGAAGAUUACCAACAUCAUCUACUUGUAUGAAUCUGCUAAGCUUCCAUCUUAUCAAAGGUCUGUAUGUCAUUUGCAAACUUGUGAAAGCAAAGAGGAAGCUACAAGUAGAGAAGACGAAACCACACAAAACCUCGUGAUAACUCUAGCACUUUUUGCAAUGUAUUUGUACUUAAAUGACAUUUCUUAUUUUUUACAAUAAUGUAAUUGUACAACAAAGCGUAAGGAAUAGUAAUAUAGA
Molecule: long non-coding RNA, 591 nt
Organism: Arachis stenosperma
Lineage: Eukaryota; Viridiplantae; Streptophyta; Magnoliopsida; Fabales; Fabaceae
Exons: 3
Source: RefSeq, a predicted model, not a curated record